Molecule: ribosomal RNA, 253 nt
Filed under: uncultured bacterium
Lineage: Bacteria
Description: partial 16S ribosomal RNA
Rfam family: Bacterial small subunit ribosomal RNA
Source: RNAcentral
UACGUAGGGUGCAGGCGUUAAUCGGAAUUACUGGGCGUAAAGCGUGCGUAGACGGUUAUUUAAGUCGGGUGUGAAAGCCCCGGGCUCAACCUGGGAAUUGCAUUCGAGACUGAAUAGCUAGGGUGCGGAAGAGGGAAGCGGAAUUUCCGGUGUAGCGGUGAAAUGCGUAGAUAUCGGAAGGAACACCAGUGGCGAAAGCGGCUUCCUGGUCCAGCACCGACGUUCAGGCACGAAAGCGUGGGGAGCAAACAGG